GGGCCCGCACAAGCGGUGGAGCAUGCUGGUUUAAUUCGAUGAUACGCGAGGAACCUUACCAGGGCUUAAUGUAGAACGACCGAUUUGGAAACAAGUCUUCUCUUUGAGCGGUCUACAAGGUGCUGCAUGGUUGUCGUCAGCUCGUGCCGUGAGGUGUCGGGUUAAGUCCCUUAACGAGCGCAACCCCUAUCUCUAGUUGCCAGCGGAUAAUGCCGGGGACUCUAGAGAAACUGCCCGUGCAAACGGUGAGGAAGGUGGGGAUGACGUCAAAUCAUCACGGCCCUUACGUCCUGGGCUACACACGUGCUACAAUGGUCGGUACAGAGAGCAGCCACUACGCGAGUAGGCGCGAA
This 353-nucleotide ribosomal RNA is filed under the name uncultured bacterium. RNAcentral's name for it is "bacterial SSU rRNA". It matches the Rfam family "Bacterial small subunit ribosomal RNA", at positions 917 to 1271 of the family's 1533-position model. The record is from RNAcentral.